UGAGCUACAACAUGCUCACAUCAGUUGUGAACGAGCCAUUCUCAGAUCUGGCAAGACUGAGGAGCCUAAACCUACGUGGAAACAGGAUCAAGACAAUCGAAUCUGGAAUUUUCGCUCCACUGAUAGACCUGAAUGAGCUGCAAAUACAAGAGAACCAGUUGUCGGAAUAUGCUCUGGACCUCUUCAGUGGACUGACAACCGUCACUGUUCUG
Molecule: long non-coding RNA, 212 nt
Organism: Branchiostoma belcheri (Belcher's lancelet)
Lineage: Eukaryota; Metazoa; Chordata; Leptocardii; Amphioxiformes; Branchiostomatidae
Exons: 3
Source: RefSeq, a predicted model, not a curated record